This 204-nucleotide unclassified non-coding RNA is filed under the name Hevea brasiliensis (rubber tree). The record is from RNAcentral. Lineage: Eukaryota; Viridiplantae; Streptophyta; Magnoliopsida; Malpighiales; Euphorbiaceae.
GCCCCGUGGUCUGCGCCGCUGGCAACAAGGUUGAAGAAGAUCUCGUCUCCUUCCACGUCUUCGCCUUCUCCUCAUUCCUCUUCUCCAGCCUCGUCGCCCUCUGCCUCAAGCAAGCCAUUCGCUUGUUUCGCCCGCCGCGCGGCCCUAAGGCGGCUCGCGUCAACCGCGCGGCGCUGCGCGGCGGGAUCAUGGCAUGCGCUGUUG